RNAcentral lists this ribosomal RNA (433 nucleotides) under uncultured bacterium. RNAcentral describes it as "partial 16S ribosomal RNA". It matches the Rfam family "Bacterial small subunit ribosomal RNA", at positions 31 to 507 of the family's 1533-position model. The record is from RNAcentral.
AAAGAAAGAGGGAGGAAUGAAUAACACAUGCAAGUCGAACGAGACCUUCGGGUCUAGUGGCGCACGGGUGCGUAACGCGUGGGAACCUGCCCUUAGGUUCGGAAUAACUCCCCGAAAGGGGUGCUAAUACCGGAUAAUGUCUUCGGACCAAAGAUUUAUCGCCUUUGGAUGGGCCCGCGUUGGAUUAGCUAGUUGGUAGGGUAAAAGCCUACCAAGGCGACGAUCCAUAGCUGGUCUGAGAGGAUGAUCAGCCACACUGGGACUGAGACACGGCCCAGACUCCUACGGGAGGCAGCAGUGGGGAAUAUUGGACAAUGGGCGAAAGCCUGAUCCAGCAAUGCCGCGUGAGUGAUGAAGGCCUUAGGGUUGUAAAGCUCUUUUACCCGGGAUGAUAAUGACAGUACCGGGAGAAUAAGCUCCGGCUAACUCCGUG